UCGAUUCCCUUAGUAGCGGCGAGCGAAACGGGAAGAGCCCAAACCAACAAGCUUGCUUGUUGGGGUUGUAGGACACUCUAUACGGAGUUACAAAGGACGACAUUAGACGAAUCAUCUGGAAAGAUGAAUCAAAGAAGGUAAUAAUCCUGUAGUCGAAAAUGUUGUCUCUCUUGAGUGGAUCCUGAGUACGACGGAGCACGUGAAAUUCCGUCGGAAUCUGGGAGGACCAUCUCCUAAGGCUAAAUACUCUCUAGUGACCGAUAGUGAACCAGUACCGUGAGGGAAAGGUGAAAAGCACCCCGGAAGGGGAGUGAAAUAGAACCUGAAACCGUGUGCUUACAAGUAGUCAGAGCCCGUUAAUGGGUGAUGGCGUGCCUUUUGUAGAAUGAACCGGCGAGUUACGAUUUGAUGCAAGGUUAAGCAGUAAAUGUGGAGCCGUAGCGAAAGCGAGUCUGAAUAGGGCGUUUAGUAUUUGGUCGUAGACCCGAAACCAGGUGAUCUACCCUUGGUCAGGUUGAAGUUCAGGUAACACUGAAUGGAGGACCGAACCGACUUACGUUGAAAAGUGAGCGGAUGAACUGAGGGUAGCGGAGAAAUUCCAAUCGAACCUGGAGAUAGCUGGUUCUCUCCGAAAUAGCUUUAGGGCUAGCCUCAAGUGAUGAUUAUUGGAGGUAGAGCACUGUUUGGACGAGGGGCCCCU
RNAcentral lists this ribosomal RNA (700 nucleotides) under Staphylococcus aureus. RNAcentral's name for it is "partial 23S ribosomal RNA". It matches the Rfam family "Bacterial large subunit ribosomal RNA", at positions 231 to 930 of the family's 2925-position model. Lineage: Bacteria; Bacillati; Bacillota; Bacilli; Caryophanales; Staphylococcaceae. The record is from RNAcentral.